This is a long non-coding RNA of Drosophila persimilis, 519 nucleotides long. RefSeq lists it as uncharacterized. The record is from RefSeq and is a predicted model, not a curated record. The transcript is spliced from 3 exons. NCBI's taxonomy places the organism in Eukaryota, Metazoa, Arthropoda, Insecta, Diptera, Drosophilidae.
UGGAUUUCACAAUCACACACAAUCACAGACGAGCACUACAUACUACACACUACACAUCUAGUUUAACAUUUUACUUCUCCCCCAAUCGAAGGGGGCACUUCGUGGCAACCGGCACGUGAUCGAGGACCUCACCCUAGACGAUGGCAAUGCUGUUCCCAUCUACAACGAUAUGAUCCAGGGGCGCGAUCGUGGGCUGAACGAGAAACUGGAUGCUCAAAACGUUUUGAAUGCCAGCUUGGAGUGGAGGAGAAUGCGAUGGUGUUCCGGUUAUCCGCAGGCCAGCCUCUGGCGCGGACGUGUUCAACAGCUCGGCGAGCGACUGAUUUGUUGCCGCAAAAUACCAGACUAUUGUGUAGUUUUUUUUGGGACUUAUUUCUAUUCGUUGACUGAGUGACUAAAAAUAAUGAAAACCUAUAAGUGCUAAGCCACACUGUGAGAGGGAGCUGGUUUUCUUCGUUCGUUUCAAAGGGAACUUCAUUUUAAAACCGGAAGUCUGAUCACGACUUCGCCAACGAGCUC